This 649-nucleotide long non-coding RNA is filed under the name Homo sapiens (human). RNAcentral describes it as "HSALNT0065168". Lineage: Eukaryota; Metazoa; Chordata; Mammalia; Primates; Hominidae. The record is from RNAcentral.
AGCAAAACUGUGUUGAAUGAACUGUAGAUGGAAAUUCUCUCCUUCCCACCGAGGAGCCGCUGCAGGUUGCAGACUCCCAGAAUGCCACACUGAGAAGAGGAGGGCUAAAAUUCUAGAGCAGAAUCCCUGGGGCAGCCCCUGCUGAAGAAGGGUGCAUCUGUUGAGAAUCUCAUCACCGCCCCCACCCCGCCCAGCCUUCAAUUUAGAGGAAUUUCUAGUUCACGCAGAAUGAAGACAAGAUCACAUAAGUGAGGACGACGCCCCAUUUACAAGUGUGAUUUGGAAGACUGAAGUGGAAACCUUGGGAAGGUGUUCUUAUAAAAACAAAAAACUGUGUGGGUUGGGUUGUGUGCCUGCCUUUUGAAAGGCCUGCUGGUCGUUCUGAAUGCAGACUGCUGGCCAUGGUGCAGAUGGAAACCAAUUCUUUAGGAAGGCUGGGCAGCACUUGGCAGAGCCUUCUCCCUGACUGCUUUGAUUUGUGUGCGUGUGUGGGGAGGGGGUUGGGACUGAAGAGGUUGCAGUUUAUUCAUACACCCAGAAGGGAGCUAAUCCAGGUCAGAAGGAAGUCUGCUCCCUUAUCAACAGUUAGGUAGCUUUUCCUAUCAGUUUUCCCUUGUGUUGGCACUCAAUUUUCAUAAUACGAUAUGUA